Molecule: ribosomal RNA, 460 nt
Filed under: uncultured bacterium
Lineage: Bacteria
Description: partial 16S ribosomal RNA
Rfam family: Bacterial small subunit ribosomal RNA
Source: RNAcentral
CCUACGGGAGACUGCAGUGAGGAAUAUUGGUCAAUGGACGAGAGUCUGAACCAGCCAAGUAGCGUGAAGGAUGACUGCCCUAUGGGUUGUAAACUUCUUUUAUAUGGGAAUAAAAUGUUCCACGUGUGGGAUUUUGUAUGUACCAUAUGAAUAAGGAUCGGCUAACUCCGUGCCAGCAGCCGCGGUAAUACGGAGGAUCCGAGCGUUAUCCGGAUUUAUUGGGUUUAAAGGGAUCGUAGGUGGAUUGUUAAGUCAGUUGUGAAAGUUUGCGGCUCAACCGUAAAAUUGCAGUUGAAACUGGCAGUCUUGAGUACAGUAGAGGUGGGCGGAAUUCGUGGUGUAGCGGUGAAAUGCUUAGAUAUCACGAAGAACUCCGAUUGCGAAGGCAGUUCACUGGACUGCAACUGACACUGAGGCUCGAAAGUGUGGGUAUCAAACAGGAUUAGAUACCCCUGUAGUC